GUUUGAUAACCGGGAUCCUGAAUCCCGAAAGGUGAGUACUGGGAUCUGUGUCCUGGGUGCUGGUCCAAGCACUCAGUGCCUUUACUCUCUCCUGUCUGAUGGACAGUAGUUCCGUGUGGCACAAUUUGUGGCGAGGCAAGGGAAGAAGGCGAGAAGAAAACUGCACGGGAUCUGUGGAGUUUUCCAGAUUCGCUCGCCUGUCUGAGCACCUUGGUGAAGGAAAUGAUGGACUUUUGGGAGAAACCUUAGAAUCCUACAGGUCUUCCCAUAGGCCUACACUAGGGCUGUUUACCACUGGAAGCCAGGGAAAGGGGGAGACUGGCCUGGAACCGUUGAAGAUCUGCCUGCAGGUCUGCUGUAGGGCUUGA
This 368-nucleotide long non-coding RNA is filed under the name Ursus maritimus (polar bear). RNAcentral describes it as "lncRNA (ENSUMAG00000001351.1)". The record is from RNAcentral. Lineage: Eukaryota; Metazoa; Chordata; Mammalia; Carnivora; Ursidae.